RNAcentral lists this long non-coding RNA (201 nucleotides) under Mytilus galloprovincialis (Mediterranean mussel). Lineage: Eukaryota; Metazoa; Mollusca; Bivalvia; Mytilida; Mytilidae. The record is from RNAcentral.
AAAAAUCAAUUCAUGUUGGCCCCAGGUGACUUUUAAAAUGUAGAUAUCAUUGAAAAAGCUCCAAAUUAUCUCCCUUUGGUGCAAAAAUGCCAUUUUUUGGCAUUAAAAUUGAAAUAUCUUUUUUACCUCAUCGGUGACUAAUAUUUUUUAUUGUUGUUUUCGAAUAAGCUGUACAUAAACUGAAUAAUUGUAAAAUUUAAG